RNAcentral lists this non-coding RNA (773 nucleotides) under Potanthus flavus. The record is from RNAcentral. Lineage: Eukaryota; Metazoa; Arthropoda; Insecta; Lepidoptera; Hesperiidae.
AAAUAGAUAAAAUUUGUGAUUUUAAAAAUUUAUUUUUAAUUUAUUUUAUAUGUAAAUUUUAGUGUUAAUAUUAUAUUAUUUUAAUAAUAAUAAUUUAUUUUACAGUAAAUAGUAUUAAAAAUUUAAGAAAUUAUGAUUUAGUAAUAUUAAAAUUAAUAACUAAUUUUGUGCCAGCAGUUGCGGUUAUACAAAAAUUAAAAUGAAUUUUUUUAGCUAUAAUUAAUAUUAAAAAAUUAAAAUAAAUUUUAAAUUAUUAAGUGAAAUUUUAAUUUGAUUAAAUUUUAUAUUAUAAUUAUGAUUUAAAAAAAUUUAUAGAAAACUAGGAUUAGAUACCCUAUUAUUAAAAAAUUAAAUUAAAAUGCUAAAAUAGUAAAUUUUAUAUUAUUGAAACUUAAAUAAUUUGGCGGUAUUUUAGUUUAUUUAGAGGAAUCUGUUUAAUAAUUGAUAAUCCACGAAUAAAUUUACUUAAUUUAUUAUUUUAUAUAUCGUUGUUAAAUAAAUAUUUUUUGAUAAAAAUAAUAUUUAAAAAUUAUUAAUAAAAAUUAAUUCAGAUCAAGAUGUAGAUUAUAAUUAAGAAUAUAUGGAUUACAAUAAAUUUAUUUAAAUGAAUAUUAUUUUGUAAAAUUUAAUUAAAGGUGGAUUUAAAUGUAAUUUUAUUUAAUUUAGUAAAAUGAUUAAUAAUUAAAAUAUGUACAUAUUGCCCGUCGCUUUCAUUUUAAAAUUGGAAUAAGUCGUAACAAAGUAGAGGUACUGGAAAGUGUUUCUAGAAAGAU